This 1039-nucleotide long non-coding RNA is filed under the name Marmota monax (woodchuck). The record is from RNAcentral. Lineage: Eukaryota; Metazoa; Chordata; Mammalia; Rodentia; Sciuridae.
CUGAAGAGCCCUAAAAUCUCCCAUCCGGGGGCACCAUCAAGACCCCAGAGAAUAGGAACCUACAGUGCGUGUUCUAUAAAUAUGAAAUCAUUCUUUUUUAAAUUGCUUAUAUGCAACCAAAGCAAUCUGGUAGUUUUGAGACUUACUAGAGUGAACCUUAUUAGUCUGAUAAUACAAGGUAACCACCUCCCCUAAAGACCACCUUGAUCUGAGAGGACAGGUUUCCAUUACUGAGGACAAAGAGGAACAACUGGAGUCACCAUUCUCUUAACAAGGGCAAUGUUAUUAUCUUCACCCAUGGAGAAAAUUAAUCCAUAUUUUCAUAUAAUUUAAUGUAUGAUAAAACGCUUUUCUUUUUAACUGAUGCUUAACUAAUGUGUUCUACUAUCUAAGUGUAAUGACAUUUCCUUCCUGAAAAUUCACAUCACACCAUAAUAAAUUUUACAUGCUGGCCCCAAAUUAUGGACUCAUUUUUUUGAAAGAGAUUUUCAAUUGUGCCCUUAUUUAGUGCAGAUAAACUUUACUUUAUGUGCAAACUACUUUUCUGGUUUUUUGUUUGUGUUUGGGGAUUUGGGGGUUUAUGUUAUUUUAGUUUUGUUAGAUGAUUGAUAUUCAGGAUAUCAACAUGCUAGGCCAGUUAUCCAUUACUGAGCUACACCCUCAGCCUAGUGGCAACUACUCCAAUUUAAUUCACAGCAAGAAGUAGACCUGCUGAGUUUGGUAACCAGAACAGUCAGGUAAGCUCAUGACUGCCAGGAUAGAAUCUGGGUUCUCUGACAAUACAAUGAGAUCCCCAAGACUAGCAUGACAUGAGUGGUAGGUCUCAUUCACUAGGGACACUAUGGAAUCACUGGAACUACUCAUUCUUCCUACAAGGCAAGAAUAUUUUCCUCUUCACCUAGCAAUAAGGAGGCAGCAAGGCAUCACCUACAUUUGGGAACCUGGAAUAAUCAGAGCCCACUCCAUAAUGAAAUAAAUAGAUAUGUCAGAAUUACUUUUUGCCUUGUGCACUUCAGGAGGAGAGUAUCCAGGACCUACU